Molecule: ribosomal RNA, 421 nt
Filed under: uncultured Fibrobacter sp.
Lineage: Bacteria; Pseudomonadati; Fibrobacterota; Fibrobacteria; Fibrobacterales; Fibrobacteraceae
Description: bacterial SSU rRNA
Rfam family: Bacterial small subunit ribosomal RNA
Source: RNAcentral
UAGGGAAUAUUGCGCAAUGGGGGAAACCCUGACGCAGCAACUCCACGUGUGGGAAGAAGCAUUUCGGUGUGUAAACCACUGUCGGUUGGGAAUAAACGCUGGAUUCGUCCAGCUUGAAUGUACCAGCAAAGGAAGCACCGGCAAACUUCGUGCCAGCAGCCGCGGUAAUACGAGGGGUGCAAGCGUUGUUCGGAAUCACUGGGCGUAAAGGGAGCGUAGGCGGAGCUCCAAGUCGGUCGUGCAAUCCCGGGGCCCAACCCCGGACCCGCGGCCGAUACUGGAGUUCUUGAGUUAUCUAGAGGCAGGCGGAAUUCCUGGUGUAGCGGUGGAAUGCGUAGAGAUCAGGAAGAACACCAAUGGCGAAGGCAGCCUGCUGGGGAUUAACUGACGCUGAGGCUCGAAAGCGCGGGUAGCAAACAGG